CCUACGGGAGGCAGCAGUGAGGAAUAUUGGUCAAUGGGCGGAAGCCUGAACCAGCCAAGUAGCGUGCAGGAUGACGGCCCUACGGGUUGUAAACUGCUUUUAUACGGGAAUAACGCGCCUUACGUGUAGGUCUUUGCAUGUACCGUAUGAAUAAGGACCGGCUAAUUCCGUGCCAGCAGCCGCGGUAAUACGGAAGGUCCGGGCGUUAUCCGGAUUUAUUGGGUUUAAAGGGAGCGUAGGCCGUAUGUCAAGCUUGCUGUUAAAUGUCCGGGCUCAACCCGGGCAUUGCAGCGGGAACUGGAGUGCUUGAGUGCGCGGGAAGCAGGCGGAAUUCGUGGUGUAGCGGUGAAAUGCUUAGAUAUGACGAAGAACCCCGAUUGCGAAGGCAGCUUGCUACAGCGGAACUGACGCUGAUGCUCGAAAGCGCGGGUAUCGAACAGGAUUAGAUACCCGAGUAGUC
RNAcentral lists this ribosomal RNA (460 nucleotides) under uncultured bacterium. RNAcentral's name for it is "partial 16S ribosomal RNA". It matches the Rfam family "Bacterial small subunit ribosomal RNA", at positions 338 to 795 of the family's 1533-position model. The record is from RNAcentral.